This 252-nucleotide ribosomal RNA is filed under the name uncultured bacterium. RNAcentral describes it as "partial 16S ribosomal RNA". It matches the Rfam family "Bacterial small subunit ribosomal RNA", at positions 524 to 776 of the family's 1533-position model. The record is from RNAcentral.
GACGAAGGAUGCAAGCGUUAUCCGGAUUCAUUGGGUUUAAAGGGAGCGUAGGUGGCCUUAUAAGUCAGUGGUGAAAUCUCUGGGCUUAACCCAGAAAUUGCCAUUGAUACUGUAGGGCUUGAGUAUAGUUGCCGUUGGCGGAAUAUGACAUGUAGUGGUGAAAUACAUAGAGAUGUCAUAGAACACCGAUUGCGAAGGCAGCUGACGAAACUAUAACUGACACUGAGGCUCGAAAGUGCGGGAUCAAACAGG